This 497-nucleotide ribosomal RNA is filed under the name uncultured bacterium. Its description in RNAcentral is "partial 16S ribosomal RNA". It matches the Rfam family "Bacterial small subunit ribosomal RNA", at positions 28 to 507 of the family's 1533-position model. The record is from RNAcentral.
GAUGAACGCUGGCGGCGUGCCUAAUACAUGCAAGUCGAGCGAACAGAUAAGGAGCUUGCUCCUUUGACGUUAGCGGCGGACGGGUGAGUAACACGUGGGUAACCUACCUAUAAGACUGGAAUAACUCCGGGAAACCGGGGCUAAUGCCGGAUAACAUUUAGAACCGCAUGGUUCUAAGGUGAAAGAUGGUUUUGCUAUCACUUAUAGAUGGACCCGCGCCGUAUUAGCUAGUUGGUAAGGUAACGGCUUACCAAGGCAACGAUACGUAGCCGACCUGAGAGGGUGAUCGGCCACACUGGAACUGAGACACGGUCCAGACUCCUACGGGAGGCAGCAGUAGGGAAUCUUCCGCAAUGGGCGAAAGCCUGACGGAGCAACGCCGCGUGAGUGAUGAAGGUCUUCGGAUCGUAAAACCCUGUUAUUAGGGAAGAACAAAUGUGUAAGUAACUGUGCACGUCUUGACGGUACCUAAUCAGAAAGCCACGGCUAACUACGUG